UUGAACGCUGGCGGCAGGCCUAACACAUGCCAGUCGAGCGGAUGAGGGAGCUUGCUCCUGGAUUCAGCGGCGGACGGGUGAGUAAUGCCUAGGAAUCUGCCUGGUAGUGGGGGAUAACGUCCGGAAACGGGCGCUAAUACCGCAUACGUCCUGAGGGAGAAAGUGGGGGAUCUUCGGACCUCACGCUAUCAGAUGAGCCUAGGUCGGAUUAGCUAGUUGGUGGGGUAAAGGCCUACCAAGGCGACGAUCCGUAACUGGUCUGAGAGGAUGAUCAGUCACACUGGAACUGAGACACGGUCCAGACUCCUACGGGAGGCAGCAGUGGGGAAUAUUGGACAAUGGGCGAAAGCCUGAUCCAGCCAUGCCGCGUGUGUGAAGAAGGUCUUCGGAUUGUAAAGCACUUUAAGUUGGGAGGAAGGGCAGUAAGUUAAUACCUUGCUGUUUUGACGUUACCAACAGAAUAAGCACCGGCUAACUUCGUG
Molecule: ribosomal RNA, 482 nt
Filed under: uncultured bacterium
Lineage: Bacteria
Description: partial 16S ribosomal RNA
Rfam family: Bacterial small subunit ribosomal RNA
Source: RNAcentral